This 436-nucleotide ribosomal RNA is filed under the name uncultured Acidimicrobiales bacterium. Its description in RNAcentral is "bacterial SSU rRNA". It matches the Rfam family "Bacterial small subunit ribosomal RNA", at positions 341 to 792 of the family's 1533-position model. Lineage: Bacteria; Bacillati; Actinomycetota; Acidimicrobiia; Acidimicrobiales. The record is from RNAcentral.
ACGGGAGGCAGCAGUGGGGAAUCUUGCCCAAUGGGCGAAAGCCUGAGGCAGCAACGCCGCGUGGGGGAUGAAGGCCCUCGGGUUGUAAACCCCUUUCAGCAGGGACGAACCAAGACGGUACCUGCAGAAGAAGCCCCGGCUAACUACGUGCCAGCAGCCGCGGUAAUACGUAGGGGGCGAGCGUUGUCCGGAUUUAUUGGGCGUAAAGAGCUCGUAGGCGGCUCAGUAAGUCGGGUGUGAAAGCCCCGAGCUCAACUCGGGGAGGCCACCCGAUACUGCUGUGGCUAGAGUCCGGUAGGGGAGCGUGGAAUUCCCGGUGUAGCGGUGAAAUGCGCAGAUAUCGGGAGGAACACCAGCGGCGAAGGCGGCGCUCUGGGCCGGAACUGACGCUGAGGAGCGAAAGCGUGGGGAGCGAACAGGAUUAGAUACCCUGGUA